RNAcentral lists this long non-coding RNA (425 nucleotides) under Prunus persica (peach). Its description in RNAcentral is "long non-coding RNA (PPER_LNC001717)". The record is from RNAcentral. Lineage: Eukaryota; Viridiplantae; Streptophyta; Magnoliopsida; Rosales; Rosaceae.
GAGAGAGAGAAAGGAUGAGAAGUGGGUGGCAAUUUUCCGGCAGCUUGACGAAAGCUUCGUUAGACUCUGGAAUGGCUUGCCAGAAGAGAAAAUGUGAAGAGAUGGAGGAAUAGGGCUCGAAAUUGAAAGGUUCCAGGGAUGAGAGGUGAUGCUUGCUCUCUCUGGAUGUGGGUUAGAUGAUGGGUAAGAGAUACCCCUUUUUAUAGGCUCUGGAAGCUGCUUCUUCCCAAGAAACCCUAGCUGGUUUCUCUAUAAUCAGCCAAGUCCCCCUUCAUUUCUCUUCUCUUCCUUUGACUCAUCCCCAUUUAGGGAAAUCCUCCUCGGUCCAAACACAUAAGGACAACAUUUUUAGAGGCUCUAAAGCAUUCCCGUAGCUGUCCCUGUGACCAUCUCCUAUUUUGGGCUACCAUUUCUCCUUCUUUUCG